GUCCAAACCCCUGCCCUCUGGGCAGGCCGGUGGUGUCAGUCAUUUCAAGGAGAAAAAGCUUCCUGAGGCCUCCCCAGAAGCAGAUGCUGGAACCAUGUUUCCUGCACAACCCGCAGAACCACAUGGGUUUUCGCCAUUGCCUAGCCUGGUCUUGAAUGCCUGAGCUCAAGUCAUCCGCCUGCCCCUGCCUCUCAGUGCUGGGAUUACAGACACGAGCCACCACGCCUGGCCUCAAAGGAGUUAAAAUGGUUAAUGAAUUAAAACAAGAUUAAGUCUGUACGUUAUAUAAUGUAGAAGCUUCGGUGGAAAACUCCCCAGCCCUAUGUGGACGGCAUCACAUCUGAUUUAUCCUCGUGGUCUACACUGCUGGGGCUCAGCCUUCUCCUGAGAGAUGCCGUGAGACGUCUCUACGCCUGGAACAGCAGGAAGAACAGAAUGUUACUGGAUAGAGUUGUCCAAUUUCCUGGGGUGUUGAAGGAAGAACUGAACAAAAUGCACAAAGUAACAAAAGAAGGAAACAGAAGAACCGAGGGAGUAAGGAAGGCACAGAUCUACUGAAGAAGUAAAAGCACAAUUCACAAAGCGGGAUGGGCUUCUGCAGGCGGCUCAAGAACCUCUCCAAUUAGGUUUUUGUUGUUGUAGUUGUUUCGUUUUUUUGAGACAGGGUCUCGCUCUGCUGCCCAGGCUGCAGUGCAAUGGCACAAUCUCAGCUCACUGCAACCUCCACCUCCCGGGUUCAAGGGACUCUCGUGCCUCAGCCUCCUGAGUAGCUGGGAUUACAGGCACCUGCCACCACACCUGGCUUCUUUCUGUAUUUUUAGUAGAGAUGGGGU
This 833-nucleotide long non-coding RNA is filed under the name Macaca mulatta (Rhesus monkey). Its description in RNAcentral is "lncRNA (ENSMMUG00000055693.1)". Lineage: Eukaryota; Metazoa; Chordata; Mammalia; Primates; Cercopithecidae. The record is from RNAcentral.